This is a non-coding RNA of Caenorhabditis elegans, 145 nucleotides long. NCBI's taxonomy places the organism in Eukaryota, Metazoa, Nematoda, Chromadorea, Rhabditida, Rhabditidae. The record is from Ensembl.
ACGAUAUAACAUUACAUUUAGUGCCCGCCGGCUUAUGGGCCAGUUGAUUAGAUUCACGUGAAACAUUGCACGAAUGGCUGAUCGAGGGUCCAAAGAGCCAAAGAGCCUACACAUGUGACAGCGGUGUUAUUGACAAUGGGGCAGU